CAGUCGCCACGGGAAUACGUAGGGUGCGAGCGUUAAUCGGAAUUACUGGGCGUAAAGCGUGCGCAGGCGGUUUGUUAAGACAGAUGUGAAAUCCCCGGGCUUAACCUGGGAACUGCAUUUGUGACUGGCGAGCUAGAGUAUGGCAGAGGGGGGUAGAAUUCCACGUGUAGCAGUGAAAUGCGUAGAGAUGUGGAGGAAUACCGAUGGCGAAGGCAGCCCCCUGGGCCAAUACUGACGCUCAUGCACGAAAGCGUGGGGAGCAAACAGGAUUAGAUACCCCCGUAGUCCCUGUCUCUUAUAC
This 301-nucleotide ribosomal RNA is filed under the name uncultured bacterium. RNAcentral describes it as "partial 16S ribosomal RNA". It matches the Rfam family "Bacterial small subunit ribosomal RNA", at positions 509 to 807 of the family's 1533-position model. The record is from RNAcentral.